RNAcentral lists this transfer RNA (81 nucleotides) under Serendipita indica DSM 11827. Its description in RNAcentral is "Piriformospora indica DSM 11827 tRNA". It matches the Rfam family "tRNA". Rfam says of the family: Transfer RNA (tRNA) molecules are approximately 80 nucleotides in length. Their secondary structure includes four short double-helical elements and three loops (D, anti-codon, and T loops). Further hydrogen bonds mediate the characteristic L-shaped molecular structure. tRNAs have two regions of fundamental functional importance: the anti-codon, which is responsible for specific mRNA codon recognition, and the 3' end, to which the tRNAs corresponding amino acid is attached (by aminoacyl-tRNA synthetases). tRNAs cope with the degeneracy of the genetic code in two manners: having more than one tRNA (with a specific anti-codon) for a particular amino acid; and 'wobble' base-pairing, i.e. permitting non-standard base-pairing at the 3rd anti-codon position. Lineage: Eukaryota; Fungi; Basidiomycota; Agaricomycetes; Sebacinales; Serendipitaceae. The record is from Rfam by way of RNAcentral.
GCCCGGUUAGCUCAAUCGGUAGAGCGUGAGACUUUUAUUCUAGAGAUCUCAAGGUUGCGGGUUCGACCCCCGCAUCGGGCU